AGUUUUCAUCUACUUAUAGGCGAGGUGACUAUAACCAUCGAUGAUGUGGUGUCCUUAUUACAUUUUCCGAUUACAGGUGUCUUCCAUCCAUACCUUUGAUGCUAUAGAUGUAGAGGAAGUUGUUGACUUGUUAGUUGAGUCACUUGAAGUCACUACACAAGAAGAAAAAGAUGAGACUGACCAAUGUAGAGGGGCAUAUGUUUGCCUAACCUAGUUGCGAGGCAUUUAUCGUAGCAAAUGUGACCUAAGAUAGUGGACCAUAGCAGCUCGAGCAUAUUUAUUACAUCUAGUACGUUGCACACUCUUUGCUAGCGAGAGUGCUACACAUAUCAGUGUGGCAUACUUGGAUACAUUACGUGACCUCAGCCAAUUUGGAGGCUAUUCAUGGGGAGUGGUUGCACUGGUCUAUAUGUAUGACAAUCUAAAUGUUGCGUCAAAGCAUACGACAAAACACCUUGCAGGAUAUAUCACUCUGUUACAAGUAAUUAUAAUUAUUUUUACCUCCAGUUAUAUGUUUUGAACUUUAUAUGUUGUGAUGAUAAUUAGAAUUUUUAUUUGAAUUUUUUAUAUGUGCAAUCUUGGAUCCACGAGCAUUCCCUACAACUGCGUCCAUUAUUGCUAAUGAGGAUUACCAUGAGAGGAAACCACAGGCUUGUUGCAGGAAUUCUAGGAAGGCAUUACCAGUGAUGACGUAUCAAAAACACUUGGAUAGAUUGAUGUCAAAUAUUGUGUGUUGGAUACCUUAUGGUGACCGCUAUGCAUUUAGAGAAUUUGAGCUGAUUUCAUUAUUUUCUGGACAUCUGAGAUGGGGUUCAACUAUUGUCAGACACCAACCAUGGAGGGUCGUGUAGUAAUUUGGUUAUGUUUAAACCAUUCCUCCACUACCUAUUGCUCCAUCCUUGUCCAUAAAGGCAAUUAACGAUAAAUGGCUUAAGGUUUUAGAAUACCUUGCACCGGUUGGACAGAUUUGUAGUUCUCUUGGUUAGUGUGCAGCAAACUACAUGGAGUGGCGGUUCUAUAGGAUAUCUUAUCCAUUUAUGAGUGUGUCACAACUUAGUGAUCCUUCUAGACAUCCACUCGUGGUGCAUGAUGAUACAUUUAUUUUACCAGAUCCACCUAUGUUGCCCAUUCAGUUAGAAAUUAUGCCACAACCAUAUGCACAUGCGACUGUCGAUGCAGACAUGCCUCAUCAUGCAGUGGCCACUUGCCAAAGGAUAGCAAAAAGUUUCGAAAACAUGAUCAACAUGAUGAUGGUCACUGUUGGAAUUGAUGCAUACACUCAGACUGACCAUUGUCUAUGAUUAGCUAGGAGGGAUACACAAGACAAAGAUGAUGGAGGACGAUGAUGAAGACAUUUGUGAUUGGCUGAGUACUAUAGGAUAUUUUUGUAUGCAAUAUGACUGAACAAUGUUUAACAAUUUUCUUAUUUGAUUGGCUAUGUAUAUUAUAACUAUGGUUUUCAA
Molecule: long non-coding RNA, 1463 nt
Organism: Glycine soja
Lineage: Eukaryota; Viridiplantae; Streptophyta; Magnoliopsida; Fabales; Fabaceae
Exons: 2
Source: RefSeq, a predicted model, not a curated record